Sapajus apella (tufted capuchin) is the source of this 299-nucleotide long non-coding RNA. RefSeq lists it as uncharacterized. Lineage: Eukaryota; Metazoa; Chordata; Mammalia; Primates; Cebidae. The record is from RefSeq and is a predicted model, not a curated record. The transcript has 2 exons.
AACCCAGGAUGCGGAGGUUGCAGUGGGUUGAGAUGGCACCACUGCACUCCAGUGUGGGUGACAGAGCGAGAGCCUGUCUUACAAAAAAUAGUGCUGCUGCGUGUGUGAGGUCAGUAGGUGGGCUGAAGGGAGAAAUGGAAAUGACUGAGGACUUAAGAAAAUUAGUGUUCUGGAAAGUUAAGCAGAGGAUUUAUUCCAAAAUUUAAAGCAGAAGGAUUAAGAUGAAAAUUCUGAAGCAGAAUUAAGAAAUGUGAAGGUUGGAACUAAGAGAUGGAAUAUCCAACUAAGGAGCCUAUGGA